GAUGAAGAACGUAGCGAAAUGCGAUAAGUAAUGUGAAUUGCAGAAUUCAGUGAAUCAUCGAAUCUUUGAACGCACAUUGCGCCCGCCAGUAUUCUGGCGGGCAUGCCUGUUCGAGCGUCAUUUCAACCAUCAAGCCCCAGGCUUGAGUUGGGGACCUGCGGCUGCCGCAGGCCCUGAAAACCAGUGGCGGGCUCGCUGUCACACCGGGCGUAGUAGAUUUUAUCUCGCUCAGGGCGUGCUGCGGGUUCCGGCCGUUAAAAAGCCUUUUUUACCCAAGGUUGACCUCGGAUCAGGUAGGAAGACCCGCUGAACUUAAGCAUAUCAAUAAGCGGAGGA
RNAcentral lists this unclassified non-coding RNA (336 nucleotides) under soil metagenome. Its description in RNAcentral is "partial contains 5.8S ribosomal RNA, internal transcribed spacer 2, and large subunit ribosomal RNA". The stretch from base 1 to 120 matches the Rfam family "5.8S ribosomal RNA", at positions 35 to 154 of the family's 154-position model. The record is from RNAcentral.